This 69-nucleotide transfer RNA is filed under the name Scolytinae sp. BMNH 1274299. RNAcentral's name for it is "tRNA-Gln". The record is from RNAcentral. Lineage: Eukaryota; Metazoa; Arthropoda; Insecta; Coleoptera; Curculionidae.
UAUGUUUUAUUAUAAUAUGUAUAAAAGUUUUUGAUACUUUAGGAAAUAGUUUGAUUCUGUUAAACAUAA